RNAcentral lists this long non-coding RNA (466 nucleotides) under Heterocephalus glaber (naked mole-rat). RNAcentral's name for it is "lncRNA (ENSHGLG00000046090.1)". The record is from RNAcentral. Lineage: Eukaryota; Metazoa; Chordata; Mammalia; Rodentia; Bathyergidae.
ACGGGCCAUCAUGGGUCCAGGGAGGCCCUCUGUGGUGUGGUUGUUGUUAAUGCUAAUGGUACCCGCAAGCUCUCCUUUGGAAUGAGAGCGGGGGCCUUGAUGAUUCUCAGUGUCCACCUGGCUGCUCUCCAGCCUCCUGCUCCCAGGGCCCUGCUGCCCAUGUCCUGGCUCUCCAUCCCCUGCCUCUGGAUGGAACUCAGGACCUUGCACUUGUGAGGCAGGCGUGGUGCCGCUGAGCCAAAUCCCAGGCCCCUUUUAUUACUCGUUUUGAGACAAGGUCUUACUAUAUCACUGAGUUGCCCAGGCUAGGCUUGAAUUUGCGAUCCUCCUGCCUCAGCCUAGCAGAGUGCUGGGAUUGCAGACAUGAACCACCACGUCUAGCAAUUCAGCUGCUUUUGCAGGGGAUCGAACUAGGGACCUUGUGCCUGAGAGGCAGGCAGCAGCACUGCUGAGCUAAAUUCCCGGC